This is a long non-coding RNA of Leptopilina heterotoma, 1027 nucleotides long. RefSeq lists it as uncharacterized. The record is from RefSeq and is a predicted model, not a curated record. NCBI's taxonomy places the organism in Eukaryota, Metazoa, Arthropoda, Insecta, Hymenoptera, Figitidae. The transcript has 3 exons.
GAUUAUUUAUAUACUUUUAGUAUCAAAUGUAUAUUACUUAUAAGAUAACAAAUUUAAUAACCUAGGAUGAUAACGAAUACUAAACUUUGAGUCAAGAUAGAUUAAGCAAUAUUAAAUUUAGUUAAUUGGACAAUAAAAUCUUUUCAAUUUCUAAAGAAAAAAAUACUAAUUUUUCACAGAAAACAGAUUCAUAUUUUUUAAUCUUAUAUUAUAUAGAUCUUCCAGGGAGACAAAAAAUAUGAGAGUUUUAAUAAGUUCAGGUAUGUUAUUCAGAGAUAUUAAUCUAUAUAUUUAAAACCAACAAAUAUUUUAAAUAUUAAUUUUUUUAAACUUUUAUUUGAAAAUUUUUGUUAUUUUUAAAUAAUCAUAAUAAACUAUUUUUAGAGCAUUUCAAUCGCAUCAAUUAUAUUGAACCUGAUCCAUUAUAAUAAGGUGCAAUAACUUAUUAAUGGUAAUUAAAAAAUGUAAAAAAGUAACUUUUUCGAAUUUUUUUAUUAAAAAUUCAGGGAUGCCACUGGUCUGGAAAACCGGGAAUCGUUAGGGAAAUACAAAAGUAUCUAGAAAACCAGGAAAAGCCAGGGGAAAUGAUGAAAAAAUCGGAAAUUCCAUCAUAAUUUCAAGUGCGAGCGAACUUUACCCUAUUUUAAAAUAUUAGGGUUUUAGGGAGUCUUGAACUAUGCGUAUGCAGGGAGAGCAAAUAAACUUUAAAUAUUUUUUACAAAAUAAUAAUUAUUGAAAAAGUAAUGCAUCAAGAAAAAGAAAUUUUAUUUAUUAUUAGCAUCAAGUGGGAGGAAAUUUUUGUGAAAUGUCUUAAACGGACGGCAAGGCGCAGGAAUUUGGCGAGUCCUAUAUGGAAAGCGCGGUUUUCCAAGGGAUGGCUUGGGCAGUUGCUGUUUUGGGUCCAAAGUGUAAAGAUGCACUUUAUCUGUUUGAGAAUUCGGCAUCUCAGAAUAUCAUAUUUAAUUGUUGGCGAUUCGUGUAUCCUGAGACCGCAGCUUCGAGAAAUAAAUUAAUUGUUUAUUUAAAA